GAUGAACGCUGACAGAAUGCUUAACACAUGCAAGUCAACUUGAACUUCGGUUUGGGUGGCGGACGGGUGAGUAACGCGUAAAGAACUUGCCUCACAGCUAGGGACAACAUUUGGAAACGAAUGCUAAUACCUGAUAUUAUGAUUAUAUGGCAUCGUAUAAUUAUGAAAGCUAUAUGCGCUGUGAGAGAGCUUUGCGUCCCAUUAGCUAGUUGGAGAGGUAACGGCUCACCAAGGCGAUGAUGGGUAGCCGGCCUGAGAGGGUGAUCGGCCACAAGGGGACUGAGACACGGCCCUUACUCCUACGGGAGGCAGCAGUGGGGAAUAUUGGACAAUGGACCGAGAGUCUGAUCCAGCAAUUCUGUGUGCACGAUGAAGUUUUCGGAAUGUAAAGUGCUUUCAGUUGGGAAGAAAAAAUGACGGUACCAACAGAAGAAGUGACGGCUAAAUACGUGCCAGCAGCCGCGGUAAA
This 469-nucleotide ribosomal RNA is filed under the name uncultured bacterium. RNAcentral's name for it is "bacterial SSU rRNA". It matches the Rfam family "Bacterial small subunit ribosomal RNA", at positions 28 to 524 of the family's 1533-position model. The record is from RNAcentral.